CUAGACUAUGAAUAAGGAGGAAAAGAUCGAAAGGGAUCGAAAUAUAACUAAAUAAAGAUAAUAAAUAUUACAUUAAAUGAGGAAGAGGAAGAAUGUAAAUAGGAUCAUAAAUGAGGUGAAAAUAGGGAAAAUUACAUAAAUAUUGCUAUUAAAUGAAAAUAAAUACAAAAAGCAAAAUAAGAGAAGAAAAUGGUGCUUUAAGACGGGCUCCCAAGCCUAGUGCUCAGAGUUGGCAUCGAUUCAGAUCAAUUAGUUCUACAGUGAAUCCCGAGUUUUCAGUUUUUAAUUGGGCAAAUAGAAAUAAGAGGAAGAGGGUCCUGAAAGUCUGAUUAUUCAAACCCCCUUUGGUCUGAUAGGGUAGCUCGAAAGGGUUAGUAGCUUGGUUUUGGAUUGAGGGGUUUACGAAGAAUGAGGUUUGCUCAAAUGGGUUCACCUUGGGGCUUUUUCUUAACCACAAGCUUGAGCUUAAGAUCAAGAAUUUUGAAUAUAUACUACUCUCAUGAUCAAAAACACUUGGGGAAACAAGAAAUUACCAAUGUGAUAUCCCCCCCCCAAGAGAGCACUUUGGUCUUCCACAAUUCUAAUUUAAUCUGAAAUCUCUUCAGUACUGCAUCCCAAACCGCCUUUGACAACCUAGAGUUAGAGAUGGGCAUGCCAAGAUAGGUAAUUGGGAACCUAUCAACCUUACUUGCCAAGAUACGUAAUUGGGAACCUAUCAACCUUACUCUGCAAUUAACCCCAAUGAUAGAUGUCUUUUUAAAAUUAACCUUCAAGCCCAAAUCACCUCACAGCAAAGAAGGAAUUUGUUAGAUAUGAAAUUUCCUAACCAUUAGCACCACAGAAUAUUAAGGUGUCAUUUGUGUAUUGCAAAUGGGAAAUAAGAAGACCAAA
This 891-nucleotide long non-coding RNA is filed under the name Amborella trichopoda. RNAcentral describes it as "long non-coding RNA (ATRI_LNC001242)". Lineage: Eukaryota; Viridiplantae; Streptophyta; Magnoliopsida; Amborellales; Amborellaceae. The record is from RNAcentral.